GCUCUGUCUGGCGAAGUAGCUCUUACUGGCUGCCAUUUGAAGAGAAAUUAUCGUGAUCGGAGAAGCUUUUAGAGAUCACUUCCGAUUGGGGGAUUUUCAAUUUCUUGAGGGUUUGGGGAAUAUUUCUUUCGCGGUGGGUGUUUUUUUUUUUGUUCUUGGUGCGGUGGAUGCGCUGUGGAGGAGCUUCAGGGGAACGCAGAUUUUCUCCUUUUAUAAAGGGGGAAGGGAGGCUUGUAAAACUAAAUGGAUAAGAUUUCAUGGAUUUUUGCUAUUUAAUCAAUUUAAGUUUUUUUUUGUACUUCAAUUUGGUUAUGGGUUUAAUUCAAAAGGGUGUAAAAAUGAGGACAUUGUUGUCACAUUAACUUUUAUUUUAUUUUGUUAGUAGGAAUAUGAGAUUAUGGUUAUUU
RNAcentral lists this long non-coding RNA (407 nucleotides) under Linum usitatissimum (flax). RNAcentral describes it as "long non-coding RNA (LUSI_LNC005383)". Lineage: Eukaryota; Viridiplantae; Streptophyta; Magnoliopsida; Malpighiales; Linaceae. The record is from RNAcentral.